This 771-nucleotide long non-coding RNA is filed under the name Triticum aestivum (bread wheat). RNAcentral describes it as "long non-coding RNA (TAES_LNC003424)". The record is from RNAcentral. Lineage: Eukaryota; Viridiplantae; Streptophyta; Magnoliopsida; Poales; Poaceae.
CCAAGAUCCAGGUCUGAUUCCCCUCCCUCCCAUCCCCUCCCGCGCACUCAGUCCGCAACGAAUCGCGCCUCCUUAGAUCGCCAGCGUAGCUAGAUUUAAUCCACCCGGGGGGGUUAGGGUUGGUGUGAUUCUGCGAUAGAUGGUUCUGGGGAUCUUGUUUGUGAGCCGCCCGCUCCCAUUGCCCUAUUGUGCCAUGAAUUAUGUUUUCGUGCUAACCAUGGUGCGAUGUUGUAGCAGCGUAGCUUCGUGCGACUGAUUCCCAAUGCCUCCUCUGUUUUGCAGGUCCGGAAGCACUCCCUGCGUUGACAAACAAAAGGUGAAACCGCGGUAGUACAGCUCACACCAUCCGAUGAUUUUUCUUGUUCAGAUGCAGCUCACUUCGUCCACAUCGUCGGACGUCGCUGGAGCAGUCCACACAGCAGGCGCAAGCGGCCAUCGUUGACUCAUUAUGUAGUCCACUUGCACGCGCCACCUCUUGCAUCUUCCAAAUUCGUUUGCAGGCGCCGGCGUGCUGGUUCUAUUGCUGUUUAGAAAAGUUUUUUUUUAGAUUUUGCUAGUGCACAACACUGCAGUUUGCUUAUGCUCACGGUGCGGUGUGGUUGGGCGACCAGUUACUAGUUUUUCUGUUGAUUUUAUAGAUUUUCCAAUACGUUUGUAAAAAAUGUUUAAAACAGUAGUUCAUUGUACAAAAAAUGUGGUGCAGUUUUGCUGCUGGCGCUAUAAAUGCAGUCCAUCUCUAUAUUAUUGAGGUGUUUGCACUUCAUUGUUACA